AUAAACCGGAAGGAAGGUGGGGAGUGGACGUCAAGUCAGCAUGGCCUUUAUAUCCUGGGCUACACACACGCUACAAUGGGAAGGGACGAAUAGGUUGCGAAGCCGCGAGGUGGAGCCAAUCCAGCAAAACUUCCCUCAGUUCAGAUUGCAGGCUGCAACUCGCCUGCAUGAAGUUGGAGUUGCUAGUAAACGCAGGUCAGCCAUACUGCGUUGAAUACGUUCCCGGGGCUU
This 231-nucleotide ribosomal RNA is filed under the name uncultured Anaerolineaceae bacterium. RNAcentral describes it as "partial 16S ribosomal RNA". It matches the Rfam family "Bacterial small subunit ribosomal RNA", at positions 1157 to 1382 of the family's 1533-position model. The record is from RNAcentral. Lineage: Bacteria; Bacillati; Chloroflexota; Anaerolineae; Anaerolineales; Anaerolineaceae.